ACUGUCACCACCAUUUAGGAUAAACACGUAUCCUGAUAUUGACUUACUAUCCUCUGAAUCAUAUUGAAAAUUAGAAUCUGUAUAUCUCUCUAGUUUCAAUUCUGAUCCUUUUCUAUAUAUAAGAAAAAUAUUUUAGUCCUUCUUAGGUACUUCAGAAUAUUUUUCAUAGCUUUUCAAUGAUCCUCCCCUGGAUCAGUCUGAAAUCUGCUAGCUA
RNAcentral lists this long non-coding RNA (214 nucleotides) under Elaeis guineensis (African oil palm). RNAcentral's name for it is "long non-coding RNA (EGUI_LNC077750)". The record is from RNAcentral. Lineage: Eukaryota; Viridiplantae; Streptophyta; Magnoliopsida; Arecales; Arecaceae.